AUUGAACGCUGGCGGCAGGCCUAACACAUGCAAGUCGAGCGGUAGAGAGAAGCUUGCUUCUCUUGAGAGCGGCGGACGGGUGAGUAAAGCCUAGGAAUCUGCCUGGUAGUGGGGGAUAACGUUCGGAAACGGACGCUAAUACCGCAUACGUCCUACGGGAGAAAGCAGGGGAUCUUCGGGCCUUGCGCUAUCAGAUGAGCCUAGGUCGGAUUAGCUAGUUGGUGAGGUAAUGGCUCACCAAGGCGACGAUCCGUAACUGGUCUGAGAGGAUGAUCAGUCACACUGGAACUGAGACACGGUCUAGACUCCUACGGGAGGCAGCAGUGGGGAAUAUUGGACAAUGGGCGAAAGCCUGAUCCAGCCAUGCCGCGUGUGUGAAGAAGGUCUUCGGAUUGUAAAGCACUUUAAGUUGGGAGGAAGGGCAUUAACCUAAUACGUUAGUGUUUUGACGUUACCGACAGAAUAAGCACCGGCUAACUCUGUGCCAGCAGCCGCAGUAA
RNAcentral lists this ribosomal RNA (500 nucleotides) under uncultured bacterium. RNAcentral describes it as "partial 16S ribosomal RNA". It matches the Rfam family "Bacterial small subunit ribosomal RNA", at positions 30 to 523 of the family's 1533-position model. The record is from RNAcentral.